This 450-nucleotide ribosomal RNA is filed under the name uncultured bacterium. Its description in RNAcentral is "partial 16S ribosomal RNA". It matches the Rfam family "Bacterial small subunit ribosomal RNA", at positions 354 to 796 of the family's 1533-position model. The record is from RNAcentral.
GUGGGGAAUAUUGGACAAUGGGCGAAAGCCUGAUCCAGCCAUGCCGCGUGUGUGAAGAAGGUCUUCGGAUUGUAAAGCACUUUAAGUUGGGAGGAAGGGUAGUAACCUAAUACGUUGCUACUUUGACGUUACCGACAGAAUAAGCACCGGCUAACUUCGUGCCAGCAGCCGCGGUAAUACGAAGGGUGCAAGCGUUAAUCGGAAUUACUGGGCGUAAAGCGCGCGUAGGUGGUUUUGUAAGUUGGAGGUGAAAUCCCCGGGCUCAACCUGGGAACUGCCUCCAAAACUGCAUGACUAGAGUACGGUAGAGGGUAGUGGAAUUUCCUGUGUAGCGGUGAAAUGCGUAGAUAUAGGAAGGAACACCAGUGGCGAAGGCGACUACCUGGACUGAUACUGACACUGAGGUGCGAAAGCGUGGGGAGCAAACAGGAUUAGAAACCCGUGUAGUCC